AGUGAACGCUGGCGGUAGGCCUAACACAUGCAAGUCGAACGGCAGCACAGUAAGAGCUUGCUCUUACGGGUGGCGAGUGGCGGACGGGUGAGGAAUACAUCGGAAUCUACUUUUUCGUGGGGGAUAACGUAGGGAAACUUACGCUAAUACCGCAUACGACCUACGGGUGAAAGCAGGGGAUCUUCGGACCUUGCGCGAUUGAAUGAGCCGAUGUCGGAUUAGCUAGUUGGCGGGGUAAAGGCCCACCAAGGCGACGAUCCGUAGCUGGUCUGAGAGGAUGAUCGGCCACACUGGAACUGAGACACGGUCCAUACUCCUACGGGAGGCAGCAGUGGGGUAUAUUGGGCAAUAGGCGCAAGCCUGAUCCAGCCAUACCGCGUGGGUGAAGAAGACCUUGGGGUUGUAAAGCCCUUUUGUUGGGAAAGAAAAGCAGCAGGUUAAUACCCCGCUGUUCUGACGGUACCCAAAGAAUAAGCACCGGCUAACUUCGUG
RNAcentral lists this ribosomal RNA (492 nucleotides) under uncultured bacterium. Its description in RNAcentral is "partial 16S ribosomal RNA". It matches the Rfam family "Bacterial small subunit ribosomal RNA", at positions 29 to 507 of the family's 1533-position model. The record is from RNAcentral.